CGCUCCGUAGUGUAGUGGUUAGCACAUCUGCUUUAUAUGCAGAAGGUCCUGGGUUCGUACCCCAGGUGGAGCCA
Molecule: transfer RNA, 74 nt
Filed under: Pteropus alecto (black flying fox)
Lineage: Eukaryota; Metazoa; Chordata; Mammalia; Chiroptera; Pteropodidae
Rfam family: tRNA
About the family: Transfer RNA (tRNA) molecules are approximately 80 nucleotides in length.
Source: Rfam by way of RNAcentral